CCUACGGGAGGCAGCAGUAAGGAAUAUUGGUCAAUGGAGGCAACUCUGAACCAGCCAUGCCGCGUGCAGGAUGACGGCCCUAUGGGUUGUAAACUGCUUUUAUACAAGAGAAAACCCUGGUACGUGUACCAGGUUGAUAGUAUUGUAAGAAUAAGCAUCGGCUAACUUCGUGCCAGCAGCCGCGGUAAGACGAAGGAUGCAAGCGUUAUCCGGAUUCAUUGGGUUUAAAGGGUGCGUAGGCGGACUGAUAAGUCAGUGGUGAAAUCUCUUUGCUUAACAAAGAAACUGCCAUUGAUACUGUCGGUCUAGAGUAUAGAUGACGUUGGCGGAAUAUGACAUGUAGUGGUGAAAUACUUAGAUAUGUCAUAGAACACCGAUUGCGAAGGCAGCUAACGAAACUAUAACUGACGCUGAGGCACGAAAGUGCGGGGAUCAAACAGGAUUAGAUACCCUGGUAGUCCGCACCGUAAACGAUGAUUACUCGUUGUUGGCGAUAUGACAGUCAGCGACCAAGCGAAAGCGANAAGUAAUCCACCUGGGGAGUACGCCGGCACGGUGAACGUCAAAUGAAUUGACGGCGNGAGAGNGCGAGGACGACACGAGGGAGAGG
RNAcentral lists this ribosomal RNA (610 nucleotides) under uncultured bacterium. Its description in RNAcentral is "bacterial SSU rRNA". It matches the Rfam family "Bacterial small subunit ribosomal RNA", at positions 338 to 950 of the family's 1533-position model. The record is from RNAcentral.